RNAcentral lists this transfer RNA (65 nucleotides) under Loxodonta africana (African savanna elephant). It matches the Rfam family "tRNA". Rfam says of the family: Transfer RNA (tRNA) molecules are approximately 80 nucleotides in length. Their secondary structure includes four short double-helical elements and three loops (D, anti-codon, and T loops). Lineage: Eukaryota; Metazoa; Chordata; Mammalia; Proboscidea; Elephantidae. The record is from Rfam by way of RNAcentral.
GACAGUUUAGGAGAGUCGUUUGGCUGCUAACCAAAAGGCCGGCAGUUCGAAUCCCCCAGCUGCCU